UACGAAGGGGACUAGCGUUGUUCGGAAUUACUGGGCGUAAAGCGUGCGCAGGCGGUUUUGUAAGCCAGAUGUGAAAUCCCCGGGCUCAACCUGGGAAUGGCAUUUGGGACUGCAAGGCUUGAGUGCGGCAGAGGAGACUGGAAUUCCUGGUGUAGCAGUGAAAUGCGCAGAUAUCGGGAGGAACACCAGUAGCGAAGGCGGCUCGCUGGGCCGUUCCUGACGCUGAGGCGCGAAAGCCAGGGGAGCGAACGGG
Molecule: ribosomal RNA, 253 nt
Filed under: uncultured bacterium
Lineage: Bacteria
Description: partial 16S ribosomal RNA
Rfam family: Bacterial small subunit ribosomal RNA
Source: RNAcentral